GCCCGGGUGGCGGAAUUGGCAGACGCGCUAGGUUGAGGGCCUAGUUCCGGUUAAACGGAGUGCAGGUUCGACCCCUGUCCCGGGCA
This 86-nucleotide transfer RNA is filed under the name Phycisphaerae bacterium. RNAcentral describes it as "tRNA-Leu". It matches the Rfam family "tRNA". From Rfam's summary of the family: Transfer RNA (tRNA) molecules are approximately 80 nucleotides in length. Their secondary structure includes four short double-helical elements and three loops (D, anti-codon, and T loops). Further hydrogen bonds mediate the characteristic L-shaped molecular structure. tRNAs have two regions of fundamental functional importance: the anti-codon, which is responsible for specific mRNA codon recognition, and the 3' end, to which the tRNAs corresponding amino acid is attached (by aminoacyl-tRNA synthetases). tRNAs cope with the degeneracy of the genetic code in two manners: having more than one tRNA (with a specific anti-codon) for a particular amino acid; and 'wobble' base-pairing, i.e. permitting non-standard base-pairing at the 3rd anti-codon position. The record is from RNAcentral. RNAcentral also lists the same sequence under 3 other names. Lineage: Bacteria; Pseudomonadati; Planctomycetota; Phycisphaerae.